Molecule: transfer RNA, 58 nt
Filed under: Sigmodon hispidus (hispid cotton rat)
Lineage: Eukaryota; Metazoa; Chordata; Mammalia; Rodentia; Cricetidae
Description: tRNA-Ser
Source: RNAcentral
AAGAAAGACUGCAAGAGCUGCUAACUCACGCCCCCAUGACUAAACCCAUGGCUUUCUU